This 466-nucleotide ribosomal RNA is filed under the name Vreelandella stevensii. RNAcentral's name for it is "partial 16S ribosomal RNA". It matches the Rfam family "Bacterial small subunit ribosomal RNA", at positions 338 to 795 of the family's 1533-position model. Lineage: Bacteria; Pseudomonadati; Pseudomonadota; Gammaproteobacteria; Oceanospirillales; Halomonadaceae. The record is from RNAcentral.
CCUACGGGGGAGCUGCAGUGGGGAAUAUUGGACAAUGGGCGAAAGCCUGAUCCAGCCAUGCCGCGUGUGUGAAGAAGGCCUUCGGGUUGUAAAGCACUUUCAGUGGGGAAGAAAGCCUUGGGGCUAAUACCCUCGAGGAAGGACAUCACCCACAGAAGAAGCACCGGCUAACUCCGUGCCAGCAGCCGCGGUAAUACGGAGGGUGCGAGCGUUAAUCGGAAUUACUGGGCGUAAAGCGCGCGUAGGCGGUCUGAUAAGCCGGUUGUGAAAGCCCCGGGCUCAACCUGGGAACGGCAUCCGGAACUGUCAGGCUAGAGUGCAGGAGAGGAAGGUAGAAUUCCCGGUGUAGCGGUGAAAUGCGUAGAGAUCGGGAGGAAUACCAGUGGCGAAGGCGGCCUUCUGGACUGACACUGACGCUGAGGUGCGAAAGCGUGGGUAGCAAACAGGAUUAGAUACCCUUGUAGUC